Molecule: ribosomal RNA, 440 nt
Filed under: uncultured bacterium
Lineage: Bacteria
Description: bacterial SSU rRNA
Rfam family: Bacterial small subunit ribosomal RNA
Source: RNAcentral
CCUACGGGUGGCAGCAGUAGGGAAUAUUGGUCAAUGGAUGCAAGUCUGAACCAGCCAUGCCGCGUGCAGGAAGAAGGCCUUCUGGGUUGUAAACUGCUUUUGCCUGGGGAUAAAAGUCCCUUGCGAGGGAGAUUGAAAGUACCAGGUGAAUAAGCCACGGCUAACUACGUGCCAGCAGCCGCGGUAAUACGUAGGUGGCAAGCGUUGUCCGGAGUUACUGGGCGUAAAGCGCACGCAGGCGGCCUGUCAAGUUUGAGGUGACAGUCUCCGGCUUAACUGGAGAAGGACCUUGAAGACUGGUGGGCUUGAGGACUUGAGAGGGACACGGAAUUCCGGGUGUAGUGGUGAAAUGCGUAGAUAUCCGGAGGAACACCAAAGGCGAAGGCAGUGUCCUGGCAAGCUCCUGACGCUCAGGUGCGAAAGCCAGGGGAGCGAACGGG